Molecule: ribosomal RNA, 1251 nt
Filed under: Triticum aestivum (bread wheat)
Lineage: Eukaryota; Viridiplantae; Streptophyta; Magnoliopsida; Poales; Poaceae
Description: partial small subunit ribosomal RNA
Source: RNAcentral
AUGGAGAUGGAGAAAUGGGCUGCUGGAAGAAGGAUGGCACUGAUCCUUGUGCUGCUGUGCUGCGUUUUUGGAGGAGAUGCGUACGACGUCCUCGACCCAACCGGCAACAUUACCAUAAGCUGGGAUUUCCAGGAAAUAAAGGUCCUGGUUAGCCUGCACAACUACCAGCUCUACCGCCACGUCGAGGAUCCAGGGUGGAGGCUGAGCUGGUUCUGGGCCGGCGACGAGGUGAUCUACGACACGACCGGCGCAGAGGCAACCGAGCAAGGCAACUGCAGCCUAUUUGUGGGCGCCCACAGCUGCGAGAAGCACCCGGUGAUGGUUGAUCUGGCGCGGGGCGUGCCAUAUGCCCGUCAGGUGGACCACUGCUGCCGGGGCGGGGUGCUGUCCUCGCUGACACAGAACAGCGAGGCGGCCACCUCGGCGUUCCUCAUGCACGUCGGCAACUUCAAGUCCUCGAGCGACGGCAUCCCCCAGAAGCCUUUCAACUUCAGCCUUGGGGUGCCUGGCUAUAGGUGCAGUAACGCUACAAUGGUAGCUCCAACGAGGACUCGGAUCGGCAAGCACCGGCACGUCCAGGCGCUGAUGACGUGGCAGGCCACCUGCUUCUACUCGCAGACAGCGGUGGGCCCGUUCCGGGCGUGCUGCGUCUCUUUGCCCACGUUCUACAGCAGGACGAUAGUGGAGUGCCCCCACUGCACCUGCGGCGCCUGCCCAGCUGGGACCUCCACAGCACCGCAGUGCCAGGACGCCGAGAUCCGGUGCACCGGGCACAUGUGCCCGAUAAGGGUGCACUGGCACGUCAAGAAGAGCUACACCGAGUACUGGCGGGUGAAGCUGUCGAUCAACAAUUUCAAUAGGUUCAAGAACUACAGUGACUGGAACAUCGUCGUCCAGCACCCGAGUCUACAGGAGUUGACCCAAGUUUUCAGCUUCGCCUACGAGCCGCUUGUGCAGCGCGGCACGAUCAACGACACAGGCCUCUUCUGGGGGCUCCCACGCUUCAACCAGAUGUUGCCCCAGGAUGGUACUGUGCAGACAGAGGUCCUGCUGAGGAAGGGCAAGGAUUUCAGCUUUUCUGGUGGGUGGGCACUGCCUAGAAAGAUAUACUUCGACGGCAGCGAGUGCGCGAUGCCGCCACCAGACGACUUCCCCCAGCUGCCCAGCAGCAGCCCUGUUCAGCGCUUCUCAGGAGGGCACAGGUGGCUGGCCUCAGGGGCCGUCUUGGUGCUUGGACUUCUGCUGACUUGA